RNAcentral lists this long non-coding RNA (635 nucleotides) under Sorghum bicolor (sorghum). Its description in RNAcentral is "long non-coding RNA (SBIC_LNC017894)". The record is from RNAcentral. Lineage: Eukaryota; Viridiplantae; Streptophyta; Magnoliopsida; Poales; Poaceae.
UUGCCGACCCAACAUCUAUCACGCCUUGAAUCUGAACAAAAUCCACAUCAUUCCAACCUAACUUUAAUUUCACUUCCUCUAACAAUUGGGCCAAUGUGGGCGAUUCACCAAAAAUCAACAAUUGCUCACUCAUUUUCUCAAAUUUGACACUAUCAUCUCUUGUCCUAACAACACGGCCUCCAUGAUGCAACCUCACUAAUUUAUCCAUCUACAACCAUCACACAUCGAAAUAUUGUCAUAUAUAUAUAUAUAUAUCAUCAUAUAAAUAUCUACUUCAUUAAAAACAAAUAAAAAAACUAAGAAACCCUAACACAAUGAUAAAAGCAAUACCUAUUAAGGUUUGAACAUAAAAACAUACUAAUUAACGUUCUCCACAACACCAAAACAUCAAUCAAACUCAUACAAACCCUAACACAAUGACCAAAUGAACAACCGCCACCUUCAUCCUAGGAUUUCCAACGAAAACAAGCAAUGCAGCAAAAUCUACACGGAUAGAAUGGAAGACGGGAAGGAGUAUUACCUCGGGACCAACUUGAAGGGGCUGAUUUGGGCCCCUAGCCACUCCCUAAUGGCUAGGGUUUGAGGGGGCGGCGGGGUAAAGAGAGAGAGAGGUGGGAAGAGGAAAGACUGAAUGG